RNAcentral lists this long non-coding RNA (711 nucleotides) under Salmo salar (Atlantic salmon). RNAcentral's name for it is "lncRNA (ENSSSAG00000097092.1)". The record is from RNAcentral. Lineage: Eukaryota; Metazoa; Chordata; Actinopteri; Salmoniformes; Salmonidae.
AGCACUCAAUGGAACUACCUCAAGGUCCAGCCACUACAAUGGGAUCUGCCUCAAGGUCCAGCCACUACAAUCUACAAUAGUAACUGCCUCAAGGUCCAGCCACUGCAAAGGUAACUGCCUCAAGGUCCAGCCACUACAAUGGUAACUGCCUCAAGGUCCAGCCACUACAAUGGUAACUGCCUCAAGGUCCAGCCACUACAAUGGUAACUGCCACAAGGUCCAGCCACUACAAUGGGAUCUGCCUCAAGGUCCAGCCACUACAAUCUACAAUAGUAACUGCCUCAAGGUCCAGCCACUGCAAAGGUAACUGCCUCAAGGUCCAGCCACUAUAAUGGUAACUGCCUCAAGGUCCAGCCAUUACAAUGGUAAGUGCCUCAAGGUCCAGCCACUACAAUGGUACGUGCCUCAAAGUCCAGCCACUACAACGGUGACUGCCUCAAUGUCCAACCACUACAACAGAGGUCCAGCCACUACAAUGGUAACUGCCUCACGGUCCAGCGACUACAAUGGUAACAGGCCUCAAGGUCCAGCCACUAGAAUGGUAUCUGCCUCAAGGUCCAGUCACUACAAUGGUAACUGCCUCAAGGUCCAGCCACUACAAUGGUAACUGCCUCACGGUCCAGUCACUACAAUGGUAACUGCCUCAAGGUCCAGCCACUUCAAUGGUAACUGCCUCAAGGUCCAGCCACUUCAAUGGUAACUGCCUCAAGG